Molecule: ribosomal RNA, 497 nt
Filed under: uncultured bacterium
Lineage: Bacteria
Description: partial 16S ribosomal RNA
Rfam family: Bacterial small subunit ribosomal RNA
Source: RNAcentral
ACUCAAAUGAAUUGACGGGGGCCCGCACAAGCGGCGGAGCAUGUGGCUUAAUUCGACGCAACGCGAAGAACCUUACCAAGGCUUGACAUGCGCGGAAAACCGGCAGAGAUGUCGGGUCCUUUUGGGCCGCGUACAGGUGGUGCAUGGUUGUCGUCAGCUCGUGUCGUGAGAUGUUGGGUUAAGUCCCGCAACGAGCGCAACCCUCGUUCCAUGUUGCCAGCGGGUUAUGCCGGGGACUCAUGGGAGACUGCCGGGGUCAACUCGGAGGAAGGUGGGGAUGACGUCAAAUCAUCAUGCCCCUUAUGUCUUGGGCUGCACACAUGCUACAAUGGCCGGUACAAAGGGCUGCUAAGCCGCGAGGUGGAGCGAAUCCCAAAAAGCCGGUCUCAGUUCGGAUUGGGGUCUGCAACUCGACCCCAUGAAGUCGGAGUCGCUAGUAAUCGCAGAUCAGCAACGCUGCGGUGAAUACGUUCCCGGGCCUUGCACACACCGCCCGU